UUGCCGUCAGAGGACGAGGGCGUGCGGGGGAAGGCUCGCUCGACGGUGAAGGGCGAGCCGCGAGGUAGUGCGGCGUGCUCUCCGUCGCGGAGCGAGGUUUCUGGUUAGGCGACGAGGUUGAUUUCGGUGGUGGAGGUCAACCUCGAUCGAUCUGCUCGUCGCCGGAUUGCGAGAACGCGCGGGAGGAAGGCUCGCUCGACGGCAAAGGGUGAGCCGCACGGUAGAGCGGCGUGCUCUGAAUCUGGCAUCGAGGUUUCCGGUCGGGCGGCGAGGUCGCGGCAUAGAGCGUGCGGCGGUAGGGAGCAACACGACGGAGAUCUAGUUGCCCGCGUCACCAUGCUGCCAGGUGAUGAAGUUCUGCGGAGGAUUCUGACCACGUCGAGUCACAGAGCGGUGGAUCCUAGGCAGCGCAACUAGUACCAUCUCGAGUGCGGCGGUGGCGGAGGCUAUGGUCAAUGGUCACUGGUCUACUGAAAUUAUUAAGUUGCCUCCACAUGCUAGUUAGUUUUUAGUUUCUUAUUCACUUUCUAGCUCAUUUUUACCGCUCGAACAAACUAUAUAAGUUGGAUUCUGGCUUAAACGAAGUUGCCUUUCACACCUUCCUCAAGUUGGUUAUUGAAAGUGAUUGAGUUGCA
This is a non-coding RNA of Lolium perenne, 635 nucleotides long. NCBI's taxonomy places the organism in Eukaryota, Viridiplantae, Streptophyta, Magnoliopsida, Poales, Poaceae. The record is from RefSeq and is a predicted model, not a curated record.